RNAcentral lists this ribosomal RNA (248 nucleotides) under uncultured bacterium. RNAcentral's name for it is "partial 16S ribosomal RNA". It matches the Rfam family "Bacterial small subunit ribosomal RNA", at positions 524 to 772 of the family's 1533-position model. The record is from RNAcentral.
UACAGAGGUCUCAAGCGUUGUUCGGAUUCAUUGGGCGUAAAGGGUGCGUAGGUGGCGCCGUAAGUCAGGUGUGAAAUUUCGGAGCUUAACUCCGAAACUGCAUUUGAUACUGCGGUGCUUGAGGACUGGAGAGGAGACUGGAAUUUACGGUGUAGCAGUGAAAUGCGUAGAGAUCGUAAGGAAGACAGUGGCGAAGGCGGGUCUCUGGACAGUUCCUGACACUGAGGCACGAAGGCCAGGGGAGCAAA